CAUGGAGGGUGAGAAUCCCGUUCAUGGUUAAUCUUAAGGAAGCUCUACGAUACGUUUUCCAAGAGUCGAGUUGUUUGGGAUUGCAGCUCAAAAUGGGAGGUAAAUUUCUCCUAAGGCUAAAUAUUGGCGAGAGACCGAUAGCGAACAAGUACCGUGAGGGAAAGAUGAAAAGAACUUUGAAAAGAGAGUUAAACAGUACGUGAAAUUGUUGAAAGGGAAACGAUUGAAGUCAGUCAUACCAACGGGAAAUCAACCUUUUGAGCUCGGUCUCGUGGGUUUUGAAGAGUUUCAAAGCCUUCGGAUUCGCGGGAUUGGGAUCUCUUGGCGUACUUUCUCGUACGGUUAGUCAACAUCGGUUUUGAAUGUCAUAAAAUGACUGGAGGAAUGUAGCUUCGAUCUCGUAUUGAAGUGUUAUAGCCUUUGGUAGAUGUGAUGUUUGAGACCGAGGAUUGCAACGGAUACCCUUCAGGGCUAUUCGUCUGAUCUCUGAUACGUUGCCUUGAUGUUGAAAGCUUGCUUAUGAUGUUAGGGUAUUACGGUCAAAAGGUUAGAACGAAUUACAUUCGUUAAGGAUGUUGACGUAAUGG
Molecule: ribosomal RNA, 587 nt
Filed under: uncultured Funneliformis
Lineage: Eukaryota; Fungi; Glomeromycota; Glomeromycetes; Glomerales; Glomeraceae
Description: LSU rRNA
Rfam family: Eukaryotic large subunit ribosomal RNA
Source: RNAcentral